RNAcentral lists this long non-coding RNA (928 nucleotides) under Olea europaea subsp. europaea. Lineage: Eukaryota; Viridiplantae; Streptophyta; Magnoliopsida; Lamiales; Oleaceae. The record is from RNAcentral.
GUCCAGUUCUACAGAGAAAUCCAAAUCUGAGGGAAAAAAAUGUUUGUUGGUCUACAGAUUGCGUCAGAUCAAGUAUAACCAUUGAAAUUAUAAACCUGUCUAAGAAUUAACAUCUUACAAUAGAUGAAUAGAAAUAUAAGAACUCUUGCAAGACAAAUCUUUUUGAUAGCUGCUUUAUUACUUCUAUGGGAUUUGACGUCUCUAUACACAAAUCCUUUUACAAAGACAUCCAUCUUUUUUUCUUCUUUUGGAGAAAUUAUUUGUUUCUCUAAAGCAUUGGAAACAAGAAAAAAAUUGGUCACCAACAAAUUUUCAACACAUAAGAAUAUUAAAAAAGGAUUAAAAAUAACCCUCCUUCAGCAAAAAAAAAAAAAAAAAAAUCUCUUUCCUAUCUUUCAAUUUGUUUAGCUAGAUAAAAAAGAACCAGUAGGUAGUAAAAGAUUGGAACCAUUUACCUUUACAGGAUUUCAAUUUAGAAGUUCCUUUCAUAUUUUUAAAAGGAUUCUUUUCAUCCUUCUUUGGCUUCCCCGAUUGAUGGCAAUCUCUGAUCCCCCGAUUGCAACUUACCUGAAUUGGUGAUUUUAGUUCAUUAAAAAGCAAUCUGAAUUUCUUUACUAUCGUCUCCAAUUCCUCUAACCCUAAGGGAAACAACUGGUUUUUUUAAAUGGAUUUGGUGGUUGGGACUGGUUUUGGGCUUGUUUUCAUGAGGUCCUAGAAGAUCAUGAGGCCCUAGGCAGUUGCCUUGUUUGCCUUGUGCCAGGGCCGGCCCUGUGGGGUUCUUAGCCUCUAGAUUUCUUGGUUGGGAAAGUUUUCAAAUUUGGGCAGUCAGAAACCUCAAUAGAGGUUCUGUUUGUACUUCUUGGUGGCCCUUGGUUGCAGAUCUUUUUAGAUUCCUUUUGGUGAUUUUGGCUUGGCUUAUGGUGCUGUC